This 493-nucleotide ribosomal RNA is filed under the name uncultured bacterium. RNAcentral describes it as "bacterial SSU rRNA". It matches the Rfam family "Bacterial small subunit ribosomal RNA", at positions 28 to 507 of the family's 1533-position model. The record is from RNAcentral.
GAUGAACGCUAGCUACAGGCUUAACACAUGCAAGUCGAGGGGAAACGACAGAGGAAGCUUGCUUCCUUUGGGCGUCGACCGGCGCACGGGUGAGUAACGCGUAUCCAACCUUCCCGCAAGUAAGGGAUAACCCGUAGAAAUGCGGCCUAAUACCUUAUGUUUUCCUUAGAGGGCAUCUGAUGAGGAACAAAGAUCCGUCGCUUGCGGAUGGGGAUGCGUCUGAUUAGUUAGUCGGCGGGGUAACGGCCCACCGAGACGACGAUCAGUAGGGGUUCUGAGAGGAAAGUCCCCCACAUUGGAACUGAGACACGGUCCAAACUCCUACGGGAGGCAGCAGUGAGGAAUAUUGGUCAAUGGGCGGAAGCCUGAACCAGCCAAGUAGCGUGCAGGACGACGGCCCCUAUGGGUUGUAAACUGCUUUUAUGCGGGGAUAAAGUGGGCCACGCGUGGCCUUUUGCAGGUACCGCAUGAAUAAGGACCGGCUAAUUCCGUG